UGACCCUGAAGUGUUCUUCAAUAUUCUUCUACCGCCUAUCAUCUUCCAUGCUGGCUACAGCUUAAAAAGGAGACAUUUUUUUCGGAACAUGGGAUCCAUCCUGGCUUACGCCUUUCUCGGGACAGUCAUUUCCUGUUUUAUUAUUGGGUUGCUGAUGUAUGGCUGUGUGACGCUAAUGAAGCAGGUGGGCCAGCUGAAUGGAGACUUUUUCUUCACUGAUUGCCUGUUUUUUGGGGCCAUUGUCUCUGCCACAG
Molecule: non-coding RNA, 254 nt
Organism: Neolamprologus brichardi
Lineage: Eukaryota; Metazoa; Chordata; Actinopteri; Cichliformes; Cichlidae
Source: RefSeq, a predicted model, not a curated record